Sciurus carolinensis (gray squirrel) is the source of this 296-nucleotide long non-coding RNA. RefSeq lists it as uncharacterized. The transcript has 3 exons. NCBI's taxonomy places the organism in Eukaryota, Metazoa, Chordata, Mammalia, Rodentia, Sciuridae. The record is from RefSeq and is a predicted model, not a curated record.
AGCUAAUGUAGGAAGAGCUCUGGUCGAUGGGCUAAAUGAGUCCUGGGUGCUGGUCCUGCAGUUUUACAUAUCCACUUCCCUGUGCAUUUCCUCUGUCCAGAACCUUUGGGGAUCGUAGAUUCAGCCCCAUUUGGAGAAGAUUGAGAAGACAUCCCUAUGACUUCACUAUCCUUUUCCGGGCAGCAGCGAAAUAGCUGACUGAGACAGAGCUGCCAAAUGCAGAGCAAAGGUGUAUUGUGUCUUCCAAUUGCACAACUGGGGAAAAUGACCUGUGGAUGAAGAACUCCUGGAUUCCA